UACAGAGACUGCAAGCGUUAUUCGGAUUCACUGGGCGUAAAGGGUGCGCAGGUGGCCGUGUGUGUGAGGCGUGAAAGCCCGGGGCUUAACCCCGGAAUUGCACCUCAAACUACAUGGCUAGAGCAUUGGAGAGGGUAGCGGAAUUCACGGUGUAGCAGUGAAAUGCGUAGAUAUCGUGAGGAACACCAGUGGCGAAGGCGAGUCCCUGGACAACACCUGACACUGAGGCACGAAAGCUAGGGGAGCAAACAGG
This 253-nucleotide ribosomal RNA is filed under the name uncultured bacterium. Its description in RNAcentral is "partial 16S ribosomal RNA". It matches the Rfam family "Bacterial small subunit ribosomal RNA", at positions 524 to 776 of the family's 1533-position model. The record is from RNAcentral.